UCAGGACGAACGCUGGCGGCGUGCUUAACACAUGCAAGUCGAACGGUGACGAUCAAGCUUGCUUGGUCUGAUCAGUGGCGAACGGGUGAGUAACACGUGAGUAACCUGCCCCAGACUCUGGGAUAACCCCGGGAAACCGGAGCUAAUACCGGAUAUGACACGCCCCUGCAUGGGGAGUGUGUGGAAAGUUUUUCGGUCUGGGAUGGACUCGCGGCCUAUCAGCUUGUUGGUGAGGUAAUGGCUCACCAAGGCGACGACGGGUAGCCGGCCUGAGAGGGCGACCGGCCACACUGGGACUGAGACACGGCCCAGACUCCUACGGGAGGCAGCAGUGGGGAAUAUUGCACAAUGGGCGAAAGCCUGAUGCAGCGACGCCGCGUGAGGGAUGACGGCCUUCGGGUUGUAAACCUCUUUCAGCAGGGAAGAAGCGCAAGUGACGGUACCUGCAGA
RNAcentral lists this ribosomal RNA (450 nucleotides) under soil bacterium 07G-14. Its description in RNAcentral is "bacterial SSU rRNA". It matches the Rfam family "Bacterial small subunit ribosomal RNA", at positions 24 to 485 of the family's 1533-position model. The record is from RNAcentral.